GCGAACGGGUGAGUAAUACAUCGGAACGUGUCCGUUUGUGGGGGACAACCACCCGAAAGGGUGGCUAAUACCGCAUAAGACCUGAGGGUGAAAGCCGGGGACCGCAAGGCCUGGCGCGAACGGAGCGGCCGAUGACUGAUUAGCUGGUUGGCGGGGUAAAGGCCCACCAAGGCGACGAUCAGUAGCUGGUCUGAGAGGACGACCAGCCACACUGGAACUGAGACACGGUCCAGACUCCUACGGGAGGCAGCAGUGGGGAAUUUUGGACAAUGGGGGCAACCCUGAUCCAGCCAUGCCGCGUGCGGGAAGAAGGCCUUCGGGUUGUAAACCGCUUUUGUCAGGGACGAAAAGGUGCGGGUUAAGAGCUAGCACUGAUGACGGUACCUGAAGAAUAAGCACCGGCUAACUACGUGCCAGCAGCCGCGGUAAUACGUAGGGUGCGAGCGUUAAUCGGAAUUACUGGGCGUAAAGCGUGCGCAGGCGGUUGGGUAAGACAGAUGUGAAAUCCCCGGGCUUAACCUGGGAACUGCAUUUGUGACUGUCCGACUGGAGUAUGUCAGAGGGGGGUGGAAUUCCAAGUGUAGCAGUGAAAUGCGUAGAUAUUUGGAAGAACACCGAUGGCGAAGGC
This 628-nucleotide ribosomal RNA is filed under the name uncultured beta proteobacterium. RNAcentral's name for it is "bacterial SSU rRNA". It matches the Rfam family "Bacterial small subunit ribosomal RNA", at positions 98 to 722 of the family's 1533-position model. The record is from RNAcentral. Lineage: Bacteria; Pseudomonadati; Pseudomonadota; Betaproteobacteria.